GAUGAACGCUGACAGAAUGCUUAACACAUGCAAGUCAACUUGAAUUUGGGUUUUUAACUUAGGUUUGGGUGGCGGACGGGUGAGUAACGCGUAAAGAACUUGCCUCACAGCUAGGGACAACAUUUGGAAACGAAUGCUAAUACCUAAUAUUAUGAUAAUAGGGCAUCCUAUAAUUAUGAAAGCUAUAAGCGCUGUGAGAGAGGUUUGCGUCCCAUUAGCUAGUUGGAGAGGUAACGGCUCACCAAGGCGAUGAUGGGUAGCCGGCCUGAGAGGGUGAUCGGCCACAAGGGGACUGAGACACGGCCCUUACUCCUACGGGAGGCAGCAGUGGGGAAUAUUGGACAAUGGACCGAGAGUCUGAUCCAGCAAUUCUGUGUGCACGAUGAAGUUUUUCGGAAUGUAAAGUGCUUUCAGUUGGGAAGAAACAAAUGACGGUACCAACAGAAGAAGUGACGGCUAAAUACGUG
RNAcentral lists this ribosomal RNA (467 nucleotides) under uncultured bacterium. RNAcentral describes it as "partial 16S ribosomal RNA". It matches the Rfam family "Bacterial small subunit ribosomal RNA", at positions 28 to 507 of the family's 1533-position model. The record is from RNAcentral.